AUGCCUUCUGAUAUUGGAAGCUCAAAAAAUGGGGCCUUUAAAUACCUCAAGGACCGACUAUGGAGCAAAGUACAAGGGUGGAUUGAAAAGACUAUGUCAUCGGCAGGAAAAGAGGUAUUGGUGAAGGUCGUUGCCCAAGUUGUGCCAGUGUUCUCUAUGUCGUGUUUCAAACUUCCUCGGGGUCUUUGCGAGCACCUAAAUAUGUUGAUUCGGAAGUUUUGGUGGGGAAGCAAAGAAGGGAAACGCAAACCACACUGGGUAUCAUGGAAAGCAAUGACACAACCCAAAUGCAUGGGAGGGCUUGGUUUUAAGGACUUUGAACUCUUCAACAUGGCACUGCUUGCCAAGCAGGCCUGGCGUUUACUGCAAUGUCCUGACUCAUUGAGUGCUCGGCUUCUAAAGAAUAUAUACUAUCCAAAUUGUUCUGUCCUUGAAGCGACUUUAGGGGGUCACCCCAGCCAAGUUUGGCGAGCCAUGAUCAAAGGAAGAGACACCCUCAAGCUGGGCUUGAUCAAGCGGAUAGGGAACGGCUCCUCAACCAAGAUCUAG
RNAcentral lists this ribosomal RNA (549 nucleotides) under Triticum aestivum (bread wheat). Its description in RNAcentral is "partial small subunit ribosomal RNA". Lineage: Eukaryota; Viridiplantae; Streptophyta; Magnoliopsida; Poales; Poaceae. The record is from RNAcentral.